This 997-nucleotide ribosomal RNA is filed under the name uncultured bacterium. RNAcentral's name for it is "bacterial SSU rRNA". It matches the Rfam family "Bacterial small subunit ribosomal RNA", at positions 355 to 1375 of the family's 1533-position model. The record is from RNAcentral.
UGGGGGAUAUUGCACAAUGGGGGAAACCCUGAUGCAGCGACGCCGCGUGGAGGAAGAAGGUUUUCGGAUUGUAAACUCCUGUCGUUAGGGACGAUAAUGACGGUACCUAACAAGAAAGCACCGGCUAACUACGUGCCAGCAGCCGCGGUAAAACGUAGGGUGCAAGCGUUGUCCGGAAUUACUGGGUGUAAAGGGAGCGCAGGCGGGAAGACAAGUUGGAAGUGAAAACCAUGGGCUCAACCCAUGAAUUGCUUUCAAAACUGUUUUUCUUGAGUAGUGCAGAGGUAGAUGGAAUUCCCGGUGUAGCGGUGGAAUGCGUAGAUAUCGGGAGGAACACCAGUGGCGAAGGCGGUCUACUGGGCACCAACUGACGCUGAGGCUCGAAAGCAUGGGUAGCAAACAGGAUUAGAUACCCUGGUAGUCCAUGCCGUAAACGAUGAUUACUAGGUGUUGGGGGAUUGACCCCCUCAGUGCCGCAGUUAACACAAUAAGUAAUCCACCUGGGGAGUACGACCGCAAGGUUGAAACUCAAAGGAAUUGACGGGGGCCCGCACAAGCAGUGGAGUAUGUGGUUUAAUUCGAAGCAACGCGAAGAACCUUACCAGGUCUUGACAUCCGAUGCAUAACACAGAGAUGUGUGAAAUCCUUCGGGACAUCGAGACAGGUGGUGCAUGGUUGUCGUCAGCUCGUGUCGUGAGAUGUUGGGUUAAGUCCCGCAACGAGCGCAACCCUUAUUGCCAGUUACUACGUUAAGAGGACUCUGGCGAGACUGCCGUUGACAAAACGGAGGAAGGUGGGGAUGACGUCAAAUCAUCAUGCCCUUUAUGACCUGGGCUACACACGUACUACAAUGGCGUUAAACAAAGAGAAGCAAGACCGCGAGGUGGAGCAAAACUCAAAAACAACGUCUCAGUUCAGAUUGCAGGCCGCAACUCGCCUGCAUGAAGUCGGAAUUGCUAGUAAUCGCGGAUCAGCAUGCCGCGGUGAAUACGUUCCC